Molecule: ribosomal RNA, 253 nt
Filed under: uncultured bacterium
Lineage: Bacteria
Description: partial 16S ribosomal RNA
Rfam family: Bacterial small subunit ribosomal RNA
Source: RNAcentral
UACAGAGGUCUCAAGCGUUGUUCGGAUUCAUUGGGCGUAAAGGGUGCGUAGGCGGCGCGGUAAGUCGGGUGUGAAAUCUCGGAGCUUAACUCCGAAACUGCAUUCGAUACUGCCGUGCUUGAGGACUGGAGAGGAGACUGGAAUUUACGGUGUAGCGGUGAAAUGCGUAGAUAUCGUAAGGAAGACCAGUGGCGAAGGCGGGUCUCUGGACAGUUCCUGACGCUGAGCCGCGAAAGCGUGGGGAGCGAUCCGG